Long non-coding RNA from Hirundo rustica (Barn swallow), 2268 nucleotides. RefSeq lists it as uncharacterized. Lineage: Eukaryota; Metazoa; Chordata; Aves; Passeriformes; Hirundinidae. The transcript has 5 exons. The record is from RefSeq and is a predicted model, not a curated record.
UCUUCCCGCAGAUUUAGGCUACUGGAAGAGUUUUUCCUUUGGUGGAAGGAGACUGAAGCCCUGCACCAAGGCAGUGCCUGGAGCAGCCUCUCCACAGUGACAAGUGUCUCCAGCAGCCAGUGCUUGACACAUGCACUCUGCGCAGCUGGGACCCGAAAUCCCUACGCAUAUUGCCAGUAAAGCUGCAGUGUGGACUUUGGGCCAAGGGACUAACAGCUUACAGGAUAUCAAAACCUCAUCCCUUGCUGCUGCACCAAGCAGGAGCAUGGGCCUGCAUCUACUCGAAGAUACAUGUGCAAAGCAGCAGGAGCUCUAGAGCCUUACAGCUUGUGUGAGCCACUGUGGUUAUUUUCUGCACAAUGCCAGCCUUGGAAUUAGACUGAUGCAAGUAGGGAGCUGGUGAUGCAACCUCAUCUUGGCAAAUGUUGCUGAAAUCUUGUGGUUGAAGGAACAACUGCUAAGAAAUGUAAGGAGCUUCUGUUGCCUGACAAAGGAAGGGGAUGAGAUAGUCAGCUAUCCUAGCAUAACCUUGGAAUAUUACUUGCCCGAAUCAUAGCCCAAGUGGAACAAUAUUUUUGUUACCAGACUUCUGAGGAAAACUCCAGUAAUUACCAUCUAGGAUUACAGCCAGGAUGGAAAUUGACAGAUGACUGGAGCCAAUCAUCUCGAGACUCUAUAAACAGGAGUGAGGCCCUUUGAGAUCCCCGGACUGCAGUGGGCUGUGAGCAGCAAUCUCCUUCUGACUGGGAUACCUCUCGGAGCUAGCACGCUCUCAAGUUCACAGUACUCAAUACUUGUUGUCAAAUGCUGGUGAUGGGGCCUGGGAUAUCCCCACUAGUCCUCAAGGCUCAGCCCUCACCUGCUGAGAGGUGCAGAAGCAACUGACUUGAGUAUUGCACUGAAGCAGUCCUCUUCAGGGUCGCCCUCCUCAGGGAGCCACGGAAUACUUGUUGCUCAUGCCUCCUGCGAGCCCUCCUCAGCUCCCAGAGCGUCGCUUUCCUUCUCCUGUGGGAUCCUCUAGGCUCUUGUGAUAGAUAUGAGACCUGAGAAGCCUUCAAAGAUUAUUACACUGAUUGGAAAGAUGGUGCAAAUCAGACUAUGGUAUCAUUGCUACGGCUCUGGAGUGUAUCUCUAACGUCCAAGAUACACUUGAGGGAAGUUAUUUUGUCUUCCUGACGACUCAUACAUGUGUGGAUCUUCACAGAAGCUUUCAUUUUUUUUUUUUUCCUGACUCAAUCAAGCAGCAGAAAUGCUGCCCUGUGAUUUACCCUGCUCUGUUGAAACAAACUUGUUUGCCUCUGGCAAGGAUUGCACAGUUACAAUGUCUGACCUAAAGUCGGAUGAAAAUUAAUGUCUUUGAGUGAAUUGGGAGGCAUCCUGCCAGCAAAAGUAACAUUAAAUCCAAUCAGCUGCACAGUGUCACUCAGAGGCAUGUUAAUAGCGAAGUUUAGAGGCUGCAUCCAGCGUGAAAGGGCUUUUGGGCUGCAACAAAAGCGGAAGCAGUCAAUAGCUGGUGAACUGCUGCUGCCUGGAUUUCUGCAUCUAUAUGGAGACGGACUGUUUUUUAAAAGUGUUUUUCAUUAGUGGCUUUGUGGAUUUAUUGAAGCAUUUGGGGUGACUUUUACCUGCCCCACAGUGGAUGUCUUUACCAUACUCCUGAGGAUUCGGUCAAUACCCCAACUCUCCUCUUCAGAGACCAACAGCUAAAGGCAAGGGCUCCGUGAGAAAGUCCAGGGCUUUCCAAAACUGCACAAAACCCUGAACUCUUCCAUGUAAGUAAAAACGGUAUAAACAACACCCCAAACUAGUGUUUGGAAGUAUUCAGGGAUGACUUGCAGUGGAAACCAGCAGGCAUCAACUUUUCAGCCCUCCUGGAAAUCACCUGUGUACCCCUUAAAUCUGACAGUGAACUUGAAGGGUAAAUAAUUAGACAGUAGUUUCUAAUACUGUCUAACAUGGCACAAACUAUGUUUCCUGAGAAAUCAAACUAUGUUUCCUGAGAAAUUCCCUCUGAUUUGCAUGAGCUGUGAAAACCCUUUCCUAGGCUCCAGAAGAAGAGAUCUGUGUCUUCCAUCUAAUGGCUCUUUUGUUUGAUUUAAUUCUCCUAUUAGCCAACAGCUGGAUGCAAACACACAGCAUUAGUGAGACAGAUUUGUAGCCACUUUGCUGACACACAUACUAAAACACAUGAUGCAGCAGUUUAGGAAACACCCUUCUUUGUGUCCAUUGGUAAUGAGGGGCCUUGCAACACUGCAAGCACUUAGACAU